This 253-nucleotide ribosomal RNA is filed under the name uncultured bacterium. RNAcentral describes it as "partial 16S ribosomal RNA". It matches the Rfam family "Bacterial small subunit ribosomal RNA", at positions 524 to 776 of the family's 1533-position model. The record is from RNAcentral.
UACGUAGGUGGCAAGCGUUGUCCGGAUUUAUUGGGGUUAAAGGGUGCGUAGGCGGCCCCGUAAGUCAGUGCUGAAAUAUCCCGGCUUAACCGGGAGGGUGGCAUUGAUACUGCGAGGCUUGAGUAAAGUUGAGGUAGGCGGAAUUGACGGUGUAGCGGUGAAAUGCUUAGAUAUCGUCAAGAACACCGAUAGUGUAGACAGCUUACUAAGCUUUAACUGACGCUGAGGCACGAAAGUGUGGGGAUCAAACAGG